This 1593-nucleotide long non-coding RNA is filed under the name Homo sapiens (human). Its description in RNAcentral is "HSALNT0291483". Lineage: Eukaryota; Metazoa; Chordata; Mammalia; Primates; Hominidae. The record is from RNAcentral.
CCUCAAGUGGUCCACCUACCUAGGCAUCCCAGAGUGCUGGGAUUACAGGUGUGAGCCAUCGCACCUGGCCAAUUAGCUGAAUUUUUUACACAUGAGACUGAGAGUAAGAAGGAUUAGGUAACUUAUGCAAGACCUCAAGCUAGGGAAAUGCAGUGUGGGGACGGGAACCCAGGCUGUUGACAUGGAUGUGACCACUGCAGUAUAUCACCUUCAUAGCAGGGAAGAUAUAUGUAUUAUAUAUCAUUUGAAUGUGGUGUAGAGCUUGGAUUAAACCAUUGUUUAUGCAAUACAUACUGAAAACAAAAGGAUUCACGAUGUUAUAAGAGAAAGGGACACAUAAAGAUAUACUAGGCAAAGGCUAACACUAAAUAAAUAGAGGUCAAAAUUGGUGGCCUUCCAAUGACUCCAGAUGACAUGAGCAGGCCACAACCAGUUUGAUUCAGCUUGAUCCCAUCUUGGCCAGCCCCACACAUUGUGAGCUGGCCCCAACAGGUCUGGUUUGAUUGGUGCCAGCUUGAAUCAGUUAGUUAGAUCUAGUUGCAGCCAGUUGGGACCAGCCUGAACUGGAUUGACCUAGUUUAAGUCCUUUUGUGUCUUCAGGCUGACUUGCCUUUCAGUCUUAGAGUUUUGGGGCUCCCUGUGGAAACUCUUCUCUUGGAAUCCUGGCUGGAUGGCUUUGCUUCAGACACUAGCGAGGGGGAGAGUUUAUUAGGGGAGGCAGAGUCCUUCUGGAGUUUGACCCUUGGAUUCCAUCCAGAGCAGCCUCCAAAAUGACACCUUUGAAGUUGUGUAUCGAGCUGGGGGAUGUAAAGGGAGGAGAAGAAAGAAGAUGAAGAGAUACCAGCCAGCCUUAAGGAGUGGACAUCCUGCCUGGUGAAACUGAACAAGACACCUACCGCAUAUGGAGUUUCGCUCUGUCGCCCAGGCUGGAGUGCAGUGGUGCCAUCUCGGCUCACCGCAACCUCCACCUCCAGGUUCAAGUGAUUCUCCUGCCUCAGCCUCUCAAGUAGCUGGGAUUACAGGAGCCCUCUCCCACCGCUCCUACACUGCUGGUAAAAGGCAGCCGCACUGCCUGCUGGAAGACCUGCCAGCUUGGGCUUCAGAGCACUUCUGCCUCAGAUCCACGACGAUCCCUUCUGUCAUCGUGGGACCUUUCCUGGGAUUUGAUUUAGGGCGACGCUUCCUCCUGUCUGUGUCCUGAGUCCUGCCUUCCCUGGCUGGUCCUCUUUGCUUAGUCACCCAGAUCAUUCCCAGACAGCUGCGCCCUGGAUAUGGCUCCUCUCAUGUGCUGCCUGGAAAUGUCUCCUCUCUUCUCACCUGCUGAGAGGUCCUUCUGGGCAGGGACUCGGGCAGAUUCAUUCCUGCCUGCCCCACAUUUCCCUAGCCCAGGGCCUGGCCCGUUGCAGUGCUGAAGGAUGAUUCUGGUAAGAAACAAGGUACUCCAGCUCACAUCUUGCAAUGAUUAUGCCUCCCCCACUCUCCCUUCUCCUUGCAGUUCUCUCUCUUCACUGAUGAUUUUGGAUGCAAUUUAAAAUAAAAAUAUUGAUUAAAAAUGGAAACUAUAUAAAUAAAAAUAAAAACACUUAACAUCAA